AUUGAACGCUGGCGGCAUGCCUUACACAUGCAAGUCGAACGGCAGCACGGACUUCGGUCUGGUGGCGAGUGGCGAACGGGUGAGUAAUGCAUCGGAACGUGCCAUUGAGUGGGGGAUAACGUAGCGAAAGUUGCGCUAAUACCGCAUAUUCUGUGAGCAGGAAAGCAGGGGACCGCAAGGCCUUGCGCUCUUUGAGCGGCCGAUGUCAGAUUAGCUAGUGGUGAGGUAAAGGCUUACCAAGGCGACGAUCUGUAGCGGGUCUGAGAGGAUGAUCCGCCACACUGGAACUGAGACACGGUCCAGACUCCUAC
RNAcentral lists this ribosomal RNA (311 nucleotides) under uncultured bacterium. RNAcentral describes it as "bacterial SSU rRNA". It matches the Rfam family "Bacterial small subunit ribosomal RNA", at positions 30 to 342 of the family's 1533-position model. The record is from RNAcentral.